Molecule: ribosomal RNA, 475 nt
Filed under: uncultured Bacillota bacterium
Lineage: Bacteria; Bacillati; Bacillota
Description: bacterial SSU rRNA
Rfam family: Bacterial small subunit ribosomal RNA
Source: RNAcentral
UAGGGAAUCUUCCGCAAUGGAUGAAAGUCUGACGGAGCAACGCCGCGUGAGCGAAGAAGGCCUUCGGGUCGUAAAGCUCUGUUGUUAGGGAAGAACAAGUAUCGGAGUAACUGCCGGUACCUUGACGGUACCUAACCAGAAAGCCACGGCUAACUACGUGCCAGCAGCCGCGGUAAUACGUAGGUGGCAAGCGUUGUCCGGAAUUAUUGGGCGUAAAGCGCGCGCAGGCGGUCCUUUAAGUCUGAUGUGAAAGCCCACGGCUCAACCGUGGAGGGUCAUUGGAAACUGGGGGACUUGAGUGCAGAAGAGGAGAGUGGAAUUCCACGUGUAGCGGUGAAAUGCGUAGAGAUGUGGAGGAACACCAGUGGCGGAAGGCGACUCUCUGGUCUGUAACUGACGCUGAGGCGCGAAAGCGUGGGGGAGCAAACAGGAUUAGAUACCCUGGUAGUCCACGCCGUAAACGAUGAGUGCUAAG